UGCAACCUACUCACGGACUAAUAAUAAUCCGUAGCAGCAACGUAGAUUUUUUUUAUACAUUAUUAUCUUGUUAAGAAAAAAAGUUGUAGUGUUGUGUGUUAGUGUAUAAGGCAAUAUAAAAAACAUAUACAUAAACAAAUAAAACAAGGAAAAAAGUAAUAUUGUGCCCAGGGCUCAGAUUGAAACACUCAGAAUAAAUAAAUUUUGCUUGGAUAAAUUUGUGGUUAAGCGUAACGGCAGCAGCCGACUAAUCAAAGGACGACAGUCUAUCCGAUUGCAGGUUUGAUUGAUGAAUUGAAAAAUAAAAACUUACAACUGCGAUUGAAUUUAAUCUAAAAACUUUCAACGAUCAAAUUGGCACUUGGUACUGAACGUACUCGUAGUAAGUUAAUGCAUUUUUUGACAGAGAAAAUUUAUGAUGGAGUUGAAGUUUUAUUGGCACUCACUGAACAACUAGGUACAUUCACACCAGUCACCACUUGUGAGUCGACCUGAUCAUGUUUAUUGUUUAUUGACAGUAUUAGGUACAGUUAUCAGAAGCUCAAAAUAGAAGCAAGUUGUGGAAAAAAAAAAAUAUUUUGAUCUUCUCAACUCUCAAGCAUAUCCUCUCACAGAAGGAACUGAUCAAAAGCUAAUAUAUCUUCUUGAACAAUCAUCUUUAGGUUAACAAAUCAAACGAGGUAUCAUCUAAUAGAAAAAGCGAAACUAAAGUAUCAGGUAAAAUUACACAUAAAAAUAAAAAACGGUUUUCGUUUAUUCAUCUAUAAUUGUGCAGAUGAGUAGAAUUUGAUACGCUUCAGUUUCCUGUUGUGCAGAAGGUGAACCAGGUCGUGCUGUGCCUGAAUAAUAAUGACGAUGAAGCAAUUGUACAGGAGUUAUUGUCAAAAUCUUUUUAAAAUGCUGGGGAAUGUGCCGAGUCGAUAACCAGAUUUUUAUGGAAGAGACUGGAAA
Long non-coding RNA from Aphidius gifuensis, 951 nucleotides. RefSeq lists it as uncharacterized. The transcript has 4 exons. The record is from RefSeq and is a predicted model, not a curated record. Lineage: Eukaryota; Metazoa; Arthropoda; Insecta; Hymenoptera; Braconidae.